This 337-nucleotide unclassified non-coding RNA is filed under the name soil metagenome. RNAcentral describes it as "partial contains 5.8S ribosomal RNA, internal transcribed spacer 2, and large subunit ribosomal RNA". The stretch from base 1 to 120 matches the Rfam family "5.8S ribosomal RNA", at positions 35 to 154 of the family's 154-position model. The record is from RNAcentral.
GAUGAAGAACGCAUCGAAAUGCGAUAAGUAGUGUGAAUUGCAGAAUUCAGUGAAUCAUCGAAUCUUUGAACGCACAUUGCGCCCCUUGGUAUUCCAUGGGGCAUGCCUGUUCGAGCGUCAUUUGUACCUUCAAGCUCUGCUUGGUGUUGGGUGUUUGUCUCGCCUCUGCGUGUAGACUCGCCUCAAAACAAUUGGCAGCCGGCGUAUUGAUUUCGGAGCGCAGUACAUCUCGCGCUUUGCACUCAUAACGACGACGUCCAAAAGUACAUUUUUACACUCUUGACCUCGGAUCAGGUAGGGAUACCCGCUGAACUUAAGCAUAUCAAUAAGCGGAGGA